RNAcentral lists this transfer RNA (73 nucleotides) under Camelus bactrianus (Bactrian camel). It matches the Rfam family "tRNA". From Rfam's summary of the family: Transfer RNA (tRNA) molecules are approximately 80 nucleotides in length. The record is from Rfam by way of RNAcentral. Lineage: Eukaryota; Metazoa; Chordata; Mammalia; Artiodactyla; Camelidae. RNAcentral also lists the same sequence under 2 other names.
GAGGGUAUAGCUCAAAUGGUAGAGCACAUGCUUAGCAUGCAUGAGGUUCUGGGUUCAAUCCCCACUAUCUCCU